AUUGAACGCUGGCGGCAGGCCUAACACAUGCAAGUCGAACGGUAACAGGAAGCAGCUUGCUGCUUUGCUGACGAGUGGCGGACGGGUGAGUAAUGUCUGGGAAACUGCCUGAUGGAGGGGGAUAACUACUGGAAACGGUAGCUAAUACCGCAUAACGUCGCAAGACCAAAGGGGGGGACCUUCGGGCCUCUUGCCAUCGGAUGUGCCCAGAUGGGAUUAGCUAGUAGGUGGGUAACGGCUCACCUAGGCGACGAGCCCUAGCUGGUCUGAGAGGAUGACCAGCCACACUGGAACUGAGACACGGUCCAGACUCCUACGGGAGGCAGCAGUGGGGAAUAUUGCACAAUGGGCGCAAGCCUGAUGCAGCCAUGCCGCGUGUAUGAAGAAGGCCUUCGGGUUGUAAAGUACUUUCAGCGGGGAGGAAGGGAGUAAAGUUAAUACCUUUGCUCAUUGACGUUACCCGCAGAAGAAGCACCGGCUAACUCCGUG
Molecule: ribosomal RNA, 489 nt
Filed under: uncultured bacterium
Lineage: Bacteria
Description: partial 16S ribosomal RNA
Rfam family: Bacterial small subunit ribosomal RNA
Source: RNAcentral